UACGGAGGGUGCAAGCGUUAUCCGGAUUCACUGGGUUUAAAGGGUGCGUAGGUGGGUUGGUAAGUCAGUGGUGAAAUCCCCGAGCUUAACUCGGGAACUGCCAUUGAUACUAUCAGUCUUGAAUACCGUGGAGAUGAGCGGAAUAUGUCAUGUAGCGGUGAAAUGCUUAGAUAUGACAUAGAACACCAAUUGCGAAGGCAGCUCGUUACACGAAUAUUGACACUCAGGCACGAAAGCGUGGGGAUCAAACAGG
RNAcentral lists this ribosomal RNA (253 nucleotides) under uncultured bacterium. Its description in RNAcentral is "partial 16S ribosomal RNA". It matches the Rfam family "Bacterial small subunit ribosomal RNA", at positions 524 to 776 of the family's 1533-position model. The record is from RNAcentral.